RNAcentral lists this ribosomal RNA (253 nucleotides) under uncultured bacterium. RNAcentral describes it as "partial 16S ribosomal RNA". It matches the Rfam family "Bacterial small subunit ribosomal RNA", at positions 524 to 776 of the family's 1533-position model. The record is from RNAcentral.
UACGGAGGGUGCAAGCGUUAAUCGGAAUUACUGGGCGUAAAGGGUGCGUAGGUGGUUUGAUAAGUUAACUGUGAAAGCCCUGGGCUUAACCUGGGAAGGCCAGUUAAGACUGUUGAACUAGAGUAUGGGAGAGGGUAGUGGAAUUUCCGGUGUAGCGGUGAAAUGCGUAGAGAUCGGAAGGAACACCAGUGGCGAAGGCGGCUACCUGGCCUAAUACUGACACUGAAGCACGAAAGCGUGGGGAGCAAACAGG